UACGUAGGGUGCAAGCGUUGUCCGGAAUUAUUGGGCGUAAAGAGCUCGUAGGCGGUCUGUCGCGUCUGCUGUGAAAACCCGGGGCUCAACUCCGGGCUUGCAGUGGAUACGGGCAGACUAGAGUUCGGUAGGGGAGACUGGAAUUCCUGGUGUAGCGGUGAAAUGCGCAGAUAUCAGGAGGAACACCGGUGGCGAAGGCGGGUCUCUGGGCCGAUACUGACGCUGAGGAGCGAAAGCGUGGGGAGCGAACAGG
This 253-nucleotide ribosomal RNA is filed under the name uncultured bacterium. RNAcentral's name for it is "partial 16S ribosomal RNA". It matches the Rfam family "Bacterial small subunit ribosomal RNA", at positions 524 to 776 of the family's 1533-position model. The record is from RNAcentral.